This 500-nucleotide long non-coding RNA is filed under the name Mustela putorius furo (domestic ferret). Its description in RNAcentral is "lncRNA (ENSMPUG00000027456.1)". Lineage: Eukaryota; Metazoa; Chordata; Mammalia; Carnivora; Mustelidae. The record is from RNAcentral.
AUGUUGACAGGGUCCGAGAAAGAAUGGAAGAUUCCAAGGCUAGCUCAGCCUUUGGAACUUGUAUGGCAUCAUUUCUGCUGUAUUCUGUUAUCUACAAGAUGCCACAUGAGGGGAAAAAAACCCCACACUGGCUUGCUGAUCUUGAGAUCCUACUGGGUGCUGUCCAGACCCAUGAAGACAUCACCAGGUAAUGGAUAUUUUUUUCUCCGCAAAGGGCUUGAGGCUCCCAGAGACCUUGAGGAAGCUGUUUAUUAGCACCUUAUGAAAGGAGAGGAAGGGGACAUAUUAUAUUUGGUCUAAUUUGACUCUCUAUAUGUUCAGCAUUUAUCAUUCGAUUAACUGCAGUAAGAAACUACAUGAUCAGAGGAACUGAUAACAGACUAAAUUUGGGUAAUGAGUAAAAUUAUGCAAAUAAGCUGUGAAUUUUAUUCUCAUCCUCCCCUUCUUUUCUCCCCAGGAUCUCUCAUUCCUCCUAUGUAUAUCUUUGUGGGGACCCGUGG